This 76-nucleotide transfer RNA is filed under the name Candidatus Coatesiibacteriota bacterium. RNAcentral's name for it is "Candidatus Coatesbacteria bacterium tRNA-Thr". It matches the Rfam family "tRNA". From Rfam's summary of the family: Transfer RNA (tRNA) molecules are approximately 80 nucleotides in length. The record is from RNAcentral. Lineage: Bacteria; Candidatus Coatesiibacteriota.
GCCCUCGUAGCUCAGUCGGUAGAGCACCUGCAUGGUAAGCAGGUGGUCACCAGUUCAAGUCUGGUCGAGGGCUCCA